Non-coding RNA from Gossypium arboreum, 144 nucleotides. Lineage: Eukaryota; Viridiplantae; Streptophyta; Magnoliopsida; Malvales; Malvaceae. The record is from Rfam.
UGUUAAAAAAUUCACUCAUUUCUACUAUUAAAAUCUGGCAUAAUUAACAGAAUGAUCAAAAAAUGGCACAUACAUGCCACGUGUACAUCAUGCUUUUGCAUAGGGACUAGUUUUUAACAGUAGAAAUGGAUAAAAAUUUUAACA